This 477-nucleotide ribosomal RNA is filed under the name uncultured Gammaproteobacteria bacterium. RNAcentral describes it as "bacterial SSU rRNA". It matches the Rfam family "Bacterial small subunit ribosomal RNA", at positions 32 to 496 of the family's 1533-position model. The record is from RNAcentral. Lineage: Bacteria; Pseudomonadati; Pseudomonadota; Gammaproteobacteria.
AACGCUGGCGGCAGGCUUAACACAUGCAAGUCGAACGGUAACAGAACUAGCUUGCUAGUUGCUGACGAGUGGCGGACGGGUGAGUAACGCGUAGGAAUCUACCGAGUAGUGGGGGACAACAGUUGGAAACGACUGCUAAUACCGCAUAAUCCCUGAGGGGGAAAGGAGGGGAUCUGUUUACAGACCUUUCGCUAUUUGAUGAGCCUGCGUGAGAUUAGCUAGUUGGUGAGGUAAUGGCUCACCAAGGCGACGAUCUCUAGCUGGUCUGAGAGGAUGAUCAGCCACACUGGAACUGAGACACGGUCCAGACUCCUACGGGAGGCAGCAGUGGGGAAUAUUGCACAAUGGGGGAAACCCUGAUGCAGCCAUGCCGCGUGUGUGAAGAAGGCCUUCGGGUUGUAAAGCACUUUCAGCGAGGAGGAAAGGAGUAUGUUUAAUAAACGUGCUCUGUGACGUUACUCGCAGAAGAAGCACCGG